UGCCCCUUAUGCUUAGGGCUACACACGUGCUACAAUGGGUAGUACAGAGGGUUGCCAAGCCGUAAGGUGGAGCUAAUCCCUUAAAGCUACUCUCAGUUCGGAUUGUAGGCUGAAACUCGCCUACAUGAAGCUGGAGUUACUAGUAAUCGCAGAUCAGAAUGCUGCGGUGAAUGCGUUCCCGGGUCUUGUACACACCGCCCGUCACACCACGGGAGUUGGAGACGCCCGAAGCCGAUUAUCUAACCUUUUGGAAGAAGUCGUCGAAGGUGGAAUCAAUAACUGGGGUGAAGUCGUAACAAGGUAGCCGUAUCGGAAGGUGCGGCUGGAUCACCUCCUUUCUAAGGAGA
Molecule: ribosomal RNA, 347 nt
Filed under: Clostridioides difficile
Lineage: Bacteria; Bacillati; Bacillota; Clostridia; Peptostreptococcales; Peptostreptococcaceae
Description: bacterial SSU rRNA
Rfam family: Bacterial small subunit ribosomal RNA
Source: RNAcentral